Long non-coding RNA from Chinchilla lanigera (long-tailed chinchilla), 1494 nucleotides. RefSeq lists it as uncharacterized. The record is from RefSeq and is a predicted model, not a curated record. Lineage: Eukaryota; Metazoa; Chordata; Mammalia; Rodentia; Chinchillidae. The transcript is spliced from 3 exons.
CAGGUGUGGUAAUUACCAACACUUUACCAAUGAGGAAACUGAAGAAUGAACCAAAUUAAGUCAUCCCCAGUGAACACAGUGACAGCUGGGCAAGCUGGGAUUUGGACUCAGGCUCUUUGACCUCAGAACCCAUGCCUUUGACUGCUGUGGAAUUUUGCCUCCUUCCAGCAGGUGAGCCUGGAAUCUCCACAUCACAAGACAAACCUUGUCAUCUCAGAUCAUGAGUCACAGCCAGGGGCUGUCUUAGAACCGGCUCCUCCUGCAGCAAAAAACCUGAAGGAAAGGAAAUUACUGAGGAAGAAGUCCAGGCAGUCCUCUUCCUGCCCAGGCAGCCAGAUGAGACCUGGUUCAGGCUACAUACCUCGCAUGGUUUUGCCGGGGAUUUGAGAAGGAGGUGCCAUUAGUAAAUCCUGGUUUACAGAUGAGGAAACCAAAGUUCAGCGAAGUCACAGCUUUUCUCAAAGCCAUGCAUCUACUGAAACUCAAGUUUUCUGCCCCAAGAACCUGCUCUCUUAACUAUUAUGCCAUCUUCAGACCCUUAGCCGAGAAAUCACGGAAGGAGAAAACCCAGGAUCAAGGAAGGAGAAAACUCAGAAUCAUGGAAUCAUGAACCAUCUCAGACUCAUUUAACCUCCCCAUCUGACAGCUGGAGAAGCUGAGGCCUAGAGAUAAUCACUCAGUUCUUCGUCUAGGAAUGGACUAGACAAGAGCGGGGAGGCUCUGGUUCUCCUGUUUCCCGGAGCCCGGCUGGAGGCUUGCAGUUGUGGUAAGUGACAGAUGGCACCUCAGUCACCAGGCUGAAGGCACCUGGGGACGCUGUGGUCAGCCUGGGUUGGCAGCCCACCUCCCACACUGGCACUGCAGGCAUGGGGCUUAGCAGCUCUGACUGAAGGGAGCAUGUGUGGCUGGAGGGCAUGAGUGAGGGUGACUCAUGGCCUUUGUGGUAUGGGUCACAGCUGCUCAGGGGGCAUCCCAGCCUACAGGAGGCAACUGCCAUCUGCACUGUGUUGGAGAGCCACUCUGAACCCACGUGCAAAGCAGAAGAGACACAGUGUGCUAUAGUGUGGCAGCACCCCACCAAGACAACUGUGCCCAGCCAGCUCUGCCCUUGCGCCUUCCGGCUGUGUGACCUUGGGCAGGAGGUCAUCUCACCCGGAUGUGCAUCUCACUCUUCUUAGACAUUCAUGAGUAAAAGAAACUGUACCCAGGCCAUUUUGGAGAUGUACGGAACUACUAGUGGGCCAAUGCAUGAAAAGCAGCAAGCAAAUCAAAGACCUUUUGCAAUCUAAAGGAUUGUUCCUUUAUGUUAUGAAUUGUAUAUUACGUAUUGUUACUCUUAUGGCUGGGAAUGCUAAUAUUAACUUACCUCAUUAAAUCAUUCUCAAAGGAAACGUGGUGGUGAAAUGUUGUCUGCAGGUGGGGUAUCUAUGAGCUCUUUGCUCUGUUACUGCAAAUGUUCUGUGAGUUUAAACCUACUUCUAAAAAUUUGCUUAA